This 25-nucleotide non-coding RNA is filed under the name Rattus norvegicus (Norway rat). The record is from RNAcentral. Lineage: Eukaryota; Metazoa; Chordata; Mammalia; Rodentia; Muridae.
CCCUACUGCAGGUCAAGGGCCUUGC